Molecule: unclassified non-coding RNA, 299 nt
Organism: Aotus nancymaae (Ma's night monkey)
Lineage: Eukaryota; Metazoa; Chordata; Mammalia; Primates; Aotidae
Rfam family: Metazoan signal recognition particle RNA
About the family: The signal recognition particle (SRP) is a universally conserved ribonucleoprotein. It is involved in the co-translational targeting of proteins to membranes. The eukaryotic SRP consists of a 300-nucleotide 7S RNA and six proteins: SRPs 72, 68, 54, 19, 14, and 9.
Source: Ensembl
GCCGGGCACGGUGGCGCGUACCUACAGUCCCAGCUACUCGGGAGGCUGAGGUGGGAGGAUGGCUUGAGCCCAGGAGUUCUGGGCUGUAGUGCGCUAUGCCGAUCUGGUGUCCGCACUAAGUUCGGCAUCAAUAUGGUGACCUCCUGGGAGCGGGGGACCACCAGGUUGCCUAAGGAGGGGUGAACUGGCCCAGGUUGGAAACAGAGCAGGUCAAAACUCCCGUGCUGAUCAGUAGUGGGAUCGCGCCUGUGAAUAGCCACUGCACUCCAGCCUGGGCAACAUAGCGAGACCCCGUCUCU